RNAcentral lists this ribosomal RNA (301 nucleotides) under uncultured bacterium. Its description in RNAcentral is "partial 16S ribosomal RNA". It matches the Rfam family "Bacterial small subunit ribosomal RNA", at positions 509 to 807 of the family's 1533-position model. The record is from RNAcentral.
CAGUAGCCGCGGUAACACGAAGGGGGCUAGCGUUGUUCGGAAUUACUGGGCGUAAAGCGCACGUAGGCGGAUAUUUAAGUCAGGGGUGAAAUCCCGCAGCUCAACUGCGGAACUGCCUUUGAUACUGGGUAUCUUGAGUAUGGAAGAGGUUAGUGGAAUUGCGAGUGUAGAGGUGAAAUUCGUAGAUAUUCGCAGGAACACCAGUGGCGAAGGCGGCUAACUGGUCCAUAACUGACGCUGAGGUGCGAAAGCGUGGGGAGCAAACAGGAUUAGAUACCCGCGUAGUCCCUGUCUCUUAUAC